RNAcentral lists this ribosomal RNA (308 nucleotides) under uncultured eukaryote. Its description in RNAcentral is "partial 18S ribosomal RNA". It matches the Rfam family "Eukaryotic small subunit ribosomal RNA", at positions 1470 to 1796 of the family's 1831-position model. The record is from RNAcentral.
CCCUUAGACGUUCUGGGCCGCACGCGCGCUACACUGACGAAGGCAACGAGCUUUCCUUUACCGAAAGGUACGGGUAAUCUUUUGAAACUUCGUCGUACUGGGGAUAGAUCCUUGCAAUUUUUGAUCUUAAACGAGGAAUGCCUAGUAAGCGCAAGUCAUCAACUUGCGUUGAUUACGUCCCUGCCCUUUGUACACACCGUCCGUCGCUACUACCGAUUGAAUGGUUUAGUGAGGCCUUCGGAUCCGCGACUCGUUUUGUGGAGAAGUUGGACAAACUCAGUCAUUUAGAGGAAGUAAAAGUCGUAACA